RNAcentral lists this ribosomal RNA (419 nucleotides) under Siphamia roseigaster (pinkbreast siphonfish). RNAcentral's name for it is "partial 12S ribosomal RNA". It matches the Rfam family "Bacterial small subunit ribosomal RNA", at positions 915 to 1533 of the family's 1533-position model. The record is from RNAcentral. Lineage: Eukaryota; Metazoa; Chordata; Actinopteri; Kurtiformes; Apogonidae.
GGCGCUUCAUACCCACCUAGAGGAGCCUGUUCUAUAACCGAUACCCCCCGUUCAACCUCACCUUCUCUUGUUCCUCCCGCCUAUAUACCGCCGUCGUCAGCCCACCCUGUGAAGGCCCAACAGUGAGCAUAAUUGGCACAGCCCAAAACGUCAGGCCGAGGUGUAGCGUAUGAGAAGGGAAGAAAUGGGCUACAAUUGCCAUACAGCUAACACGAAUUGUAAAACUGAAACACAGACAUGAAGGAGGAUUUAGGAGUAAGGGGUAAACAGAGUGUUCCCCUGAAACGGCCCUGAAGCGUGCACACACCGCCCGUCACUCUCCCCAAGCUAGAAUAUAUUACAGUAAUUAAAUCACCACUCCUACAAAGGGGAGACAAGUCGUAACAAGGUAAGUGUACCGGAAGGUGUACUUGGAAUAA